UACGUAGGUGGCGAGCGUUGUCCGGAAUUACUGGGCGUAAAGCGUGCGUAGACGGUAGCGUAAGUCGGGUGUGAAAGCCCCGGGCUCAACCUGGGAAUUGCAUUCGAGACUGCUCUGCUAGGGUGCGGAAGAGGGGAGCGGAAUUUCCGGUGUAGCGGUGAAAUGCGUAGAUAUCGGAAGGAACACCAGUGGCGAAAGCGGCUCCCUGGUCCAGCACCGACGUUCAGGCACGAAAGCGUGGGGAGCAAACAGG
Molecule: ribosomal RNA, 253 nt
Filed under: uncultured bacterium
Lineage: Bacteria
Description: partial 16S ribosomal RNA
Rfam family: Bacterial small subunit ribosomal RNA
Source: RNAcentral